CAUUUUUGAGAAACUAGCUAAUACUGAACGUAUUUAAGGAGAAAUUCACCCUCAAAAUU
This 59-nucleotide transfer RNA is filed under the name Burramys parvus (mountain pygmy possum). RNAcentral describes it as "tRNA-Lys". Lineage: Eukaryota; Metazoa; Chordata; Mammalia; Diprotodontia; Burramyidae. The record is from RNAcentral.